GCUGCCGUAGCUCAGAGGUAGAGCACUCCCUUGGUAAGGGAGAGGUCGAGAGUUCAAAUCUCUUCGGCAGCA
RNAcentral lists this transfer RNA (72 nucleotides) under Candidatus Endolissoclinum faulkneri L5. RNAcentral describes it as "tRNA-Thr (GGT) (tRNA-Thr-GGT-1-1)". It matches the Rfam family "tRNA". Rfam says of the family: Transfer RNA (tRNA) molecules are approximately 80 nucleotides in length. Lineage: Bacteria; Pseudomonadati; Pseudomonadota; Alphaproteobacteria; Rhodospirillales; Rhodospirillaceae. The record is from Rfam by way of RNAcentral.